AGUGAACGCUGGCGGUAGGCCUAACACAUGCAAGUCGAACGGCAGCACAGUAAGCGCUUGCUCUUACGGGUGGCGAGUGGCGGACGGGUGAGGAAUACAUCGGAAUCUACUUUUUCGUGGGGGAUAACGUAGGGAAACUUACGCUAAUACCGCAUACGACCUACGGGUUAAAGCAGGGGAUCUUCGGACCUUGCGCGAUUGAAUGAGCCGAUGUCGGAUUAGCUAGUUGGCGGGGUAAAGGCCCACCAAGGCAACGAUCCGUAGCUGGUCUGAGAGGAUGAUCAGCCACACUGGAACUGAGACACGGUCCAGACUCCUACGGGAGGCAGCAGUGGGGAAUAUUGGGCAAUGGGCGCAAGCCUGAUCCAGCCAUACCGCGUGGGUGAAGAAGGCCUUCGGGUUGUAAAGCCCUUUUGUUGGGAAAGAAAAGCAGCAGGUUAAUACCCCGCUGUUCUGACGGUACCCAAAGAAUAAGCACCGGCUAACUUCGUG
This 492-nucleotide ribosomal RNA is filed under the name uncultured bacterium. RNAcentral's name for it is "partial 16S ribosomal RNA". It matches the Rfam family "Bacterial small subunit ribosomal RNA", at positions 29 to 507 of the family's 1533-position model. The record is from RNAcentral.